AUUGAACGCUGGCGGCAUGCUUUACACAUGCAAGUCGAACGGCAACAGGUUAAGCUGACGAGUGGCGAACGGGUGAGUAAUGCAUCGGAACGUGCCCGGUCGUGGGGGAUAACGCAGCGAAAGCUGCGCUAAUACCGCAUACGAUCUGAGGAUGAAAGCGGGGGACCGUAAGGCCCCGCGCGAUCGGAGCGGUCGAUGUCAGAUUAGGUAGUUGGUGGGGUAAAGGCUCACCAAGCCAACGAUCUGUAGCUGGUCUGAGAGGACGACCAGCCACACUGGGACUGAGACACGGCCCAGACUCCUACGGGAGGCAGCAGUGGGGAAUUUUGGACAGUGGGCGAAAGCCUGAUCCAGCAAUGCCGCGUGCAGGAAGAAGGCCUUCGGGUUGUAAACUGCUUUUGUACGGAGCGAAAAGGUCUCCUCUAAUACAGGGGGCUCAUGACGGUACCGUAAGAAUAAGCACCGGCUAACUACGUGCCAGCAGCCGCGGUAA
This 493-nucleotide ribosomal RNA is filed under the name uncultured bacterium. RNAcentral's name for it is "partial 16S ribosomal RNA". It matches the Rfam family "Bacterial small subunit ribosomal RNA", at positions 29 to 523 of the family's 1533-position model. The record is from RNAcentral.